Molecule: unclassified non-coding RNA, 364 nt
Filed under: uncultured bacterium
Lineage: Bacteria
Description: contains 16S-23S intergenic spacer region
Source: RNAcentral
UCCCGGUUGGCCCGGGCAGUCUCGCGUGAAAAAUUCAACACACGACAAGGGUUGCGCUCGUUGCGGGACUUAACCCAACAUCUCACGACACGAGCUGACGACGGCCAUGCAGCACCUGUCACUGAGUUCCCGAAGGCACCCCGCUGUUUCCAGCAGGUUCUCAGGAUGUCAAGCCUCGGUAAGGUUCUUCGCGUAUCGUCGAAUUAAACCCCAUGCUCCACCGCUUGUGCGGGUCCCCGUCAAUUCCUUUGAGUUUUAAGCUUGCGCUCGUACUCCCCAGGCGGCAGACUUAUCGCGUUAGCUUCUCAGCCCAGGGGGUCGAUACCCCAGACUAAUAGUCUGCAUCGUUUACGGCGUGGACUAC